GUGAGUCAUCGAAUCUUUGAACGCAUAUUGCGCCCUUUGGCAUUCCGAAGGGCAUGCCUGUUCGAGCGUCAUUAUCACCCCUCAAGCCCCCGGCUUGGUGUUGGACGGUUUGGUUUUGGCGACAAGACCCCUCCAAAAGCUAAUGACGGCGGCCUGUGCGACUCCCGGUACACUGAGCUUAACUGAGCACGUACCGGCUUCAGGGUUGACAGGGCCCGGUCUUCUUCCUUCACGGGAAAUACUUUCCACAAGGUUGACCUCGGAUCAGGUAGGGAUACCCGCUGAACUUAAGCAUAUCAAUAAGCGGAGGA
This 311-nucleotide unclassified non-coding RNA is filed under the name Herpotrichiellaceae sp. RNAcentral's name for it is "partial contains 5.8S ribosomal RNA, internal transcribed spacer 2, and large subunit ribosomal RNA". The stretch from base 1 to 71 matches the Rfam family "5.8S ribosomal RNA", at positions 84 to 154 of the family's 154-position model. The record is from RNAcentral. Lineage: Eukaryota; Fungi; Ascomycota; Eurotiomycetes; Chaetothyriales; Herpotrichiellaceae.